UACGUAGGGUGCAAGCGUUAAUCGGAAUUACUGGGCGUAAAGCGUGCGCAGGCGGCUAUGCAAGACAGAUGUGAAAUCCCCGGGCUCAACCUGGGAACUGCAUUUGUGACUGCAUCGCUGGAGUGCGGCAGAGGGGGAUGGAAUUCCGCGUGUAGCAGUGAAAUGCGUAGAUAUGCGGAGGAACACCGAUGGCGAAGGCAAUCCCCUGGGCCUGCACUGACGCUCAUGCACGAAAGCGUGGGGAGCAAACAGG
Molecule: ribosomal RNA, 253 nt
Filed under: uncultured bacterium
Lineage: Bacteria
Description: partial 16S ribosomal RNA
Rfam family: Bacterial small subunit ribosomal RNA
Source: RNAcentral